UGGACUUUGAACAAAGUCUUCAAUCUAUAUUGUACCCAUCUGUUAAUCAUAUGAAGGGUGAUCCCACAUUGCAACAAGGUUUUGGUGGUUACCAUCAUCAUUUAUUGCCACAAACUUUUGUGAUUCCAGACAAUCAAUGGAUGGAACAUAUGAAAGUGAUUCAAACAAAUCAAAGGGUGGAACAUAUGAGAGUGAUUCAAGAAAAUCAAAGGGUAGAACAACAAUCAAAUUUCACAAAGAGGAAUGAAUAUUUUCCAUCUAAAGGUCAGCCAUAAUCACUAAUGAAGGGAUGGAAAUGGAUCAAAUUGACAUUUGCUCGAAGGGUAGAAUAGUCUUUAUGUUUGAGCUUGGUUCAAAAAUUAUUGUACACAUAAAAUUUCUGUCAUUUAGUUAUGUUUGUAGAACCUUUUCUUCAUCUUCCUAGUUUGGUCUGUCUAUUUUUAGUUAUUGAUAUGAAUAAACUAAAUAACUAUCUCUAUUUAUGUGA
Molecule: non-coding RNA, 487 nt
Organism: Benincasa hispida (wax gourd)
Lineage: Eukaryota; Viridiplantae; Streptophyta; Magnoliopsida; Cucurbitales; Cucurbitaceae
Source: RefSeq, a predicted model, not a curated record